AUUAUCAACUAUGGAAAAGCUAUAAAUUUGGUAAGAAAAUGUGUAUAGUAAGUUGUACAAAAAUGCGUGUCCCUUUUAUGGCCCUUGGCCCUAUUACUUAUACCUAAGAAUCAUACUUAAUUCUCAUUUACUCAUAAUUAUUAUCUCUUAAAUGUAUCCGUUUCAGUCUUUGAAUUUACAGUUCAAACGUUCGAAUUUGAAUUAACUUUGAGCAUCAUGGGCUUCCCCUUUUCAUCCCAACGGCCUUUUAAACCAGCUACUUCUUAUCUCGAUUUUACUUUUACCUUGCGGUAUGACCACUUUGCCCGCGUUCUUCUCCUCGACUAAAGAAGCAUGUGGGCCACGCUUUUGUGGGCCUCUUUCCUAUCCAUAUGUCAAUUU
Molecule: small RNA, 381 nt
Filed under: Arabidopsis thaliana (thale cress)
Lineage: Eukaryota; Viridiplantae; Streptophyta; Magnoliopsida; Brassicales; Brassicaceae
Description: ATSL203310
Source: RNAcentral